GCUGAGCCUGCCUAGAGACAUGCGUGUUUCAAUCGGGUCGAGAGCUAAAAUCCACAGCCUCAAUCUGAGCACCUACCGCGGACUCCUCUGUGAUCAGCCUAGAAGCAGCAGAUGAAAUCGCGUCGACAUUUACUACUCAGCUACGCGAGAGGAGGUUGCUGCUGGAAUAUGACCUUGAACCUUUGUGCACUGCCACGCCACGUUUUAUACUGAAGGGAUCCAACCCACAGCUUCCUGGAUGAGCACCAGCUUAGCUCCACCCCAGACUCUUACCGAUUUUCACAGGGCGCAAACGUUUCUCUCCAGCUUUUAUUUGUUAUUUGAUUUGUUUUUCUCUCCCAGAGACUCAUUCCUUGCAGUACUAGAAAUUGAACUGGACAGCCUAAUAAAGCAAACACUAGAGAAAGAAACUUCCUUCAAACAUGAUCCUCCUGCCUCAGUUCCCUGAGCAGCUGGAAUGGCUGUCGCAGAAUUUGAGUUUCAUAUAUCUGUCAGUCUUUUCUUCCUGUGUUGCUUAAAGCUUGAGUGUCAUAAUUACGCCCGUUAGCACAUUCCAUCUAAAAUGCAGUGUCCUUUUCUACUGCAAAUUUACUUUCUUUUGUUUUCUAAGACAAGAUCUCACUGUACAGGCAGGUCCUGAACUUUAGCUCUUUCUGCUUCAGUCUCUCAAGUGCUGGAAUCACAGACGUGCGGAGCUGGAAGGAGAGCAGGGAAAUAUAUUUACACAGAAAGUGGUUAGCUUCCACGUAAGACAGCCUAUUACUGAAAGGAAGAUGGUGAGGUGGGACAGUAGAGAAUCGCCUGUAGGAUCUGCCUACACUGUGCUCCUCCAUGGGCCAAUGUGUCCUCUCAAAGAGCGCUCCCUCCCAGUUUCUCCUUGAGACCCACUUGACUGUGGACUCCACAGCCCAUGCUGUGCCAAAGUAGAAACUCUGCCCUCCCUCCUCACAGAGCUCCCUUUCACCCUGUGAGAGCAGAGAGGUUCUAUCCCCUAUGGCAGUCCCGUGAUCUCCAGCUCAUCUUCUUGUCAGGACUGCUCAGUCUCUUUGGAAGAGGCUGCCUCAGCCUCAGCCUUCAAGAGGCCAAUGCUCUCCUCAGCCUCACGAAGAGAUUGGAUUCCUCCUUCUGAACUAUACUGGACCACCUGGACUUUUGCGCAUCUCUAUUUAGUCCUGAAUCUUGGGAAGUCCAUCCUGAAUUGUCCUAUCAAAAUCUUGCUUAUGACCUUGUCUAUUUCAAGAGUGCUCUAUACAGAAUUCUGUGAGUUUGAGGCCAUCCUGGUCUACACAGAGAGUUCCAGAAUAACCAGAGUUACCUUGUCUCCAAAUAAUAAUAUUAAGAGUAAGAAAAAGAAAAGAAAAAUUAUAUAGAUAUAGACAAGGUCUCACUAUGUAGCUCUGGUUAGCCUGGAACUCACUAUGGAGACUGGGCUGUUCUCAAACUCACAGAGUUCUGCUUGUUUCUACCCCCUGAGUGUUGGGAUUGAAGACAUGCCCACCACACCCAUCUUUGAUGAAAUAUUUUUAAAAUAUUUUAAAAUUAUAUUUAAUUAUUAAUAAUGAAUAUAUUUACAAAUUUUUAUAUAAUGUAUUUGAUCAUAUGCAUCUGUGCUGGAUAGGUUUUUUGGUUUGUUUGUUUUUGGGGGGGUUUUUUGAGGCAGGGUUUCUCUGUUUAGCUAUGACUGUCCUGGAACUCCCACUGUAGCCCAGGCUGGCCUCAAACUCAGAGAGAUCUGCCCACCUUUGCCUCCCAAGUGCUGAAAAUAAAGGCAUGCCCCACCCCCACCUGACUAUUCUAGAUAAUUUCAUAUCAACUUCACAUUACCUAGCAUUAUCUAAAAGUAAGGAAUCUUAAGUAAGAAUAUGUCCCAUAAUAUCCUGCUGUAGGGCAUUUUCUUAAUUAGUGAUUGAUAAAGGAGGACCCAGUCCAUUGUGGGUGGGGCCACACCUGGGCUAGUGGUCCUGAGUUCUGUAAGAAGACUGAGCAAACCAUGAGGUGUAAGCCAGUAAACAGAGUUCCUCUAUGACCUCUGCAUCAGCCCUUGUUUCCAGGUUCCUGUGCUGACUUCCUUUGAUGAUGAAGUGUGAGCUGAAUAAACCCUUUCUUUCUUGUGUUGCUUUUGGCAUGGCAUUUCAUUGCAGCAGUAGCAACCCUAACUAAGACAUCAACCCUCCCAAGCCCUCUCUCACUGCCCUCUCAACCCUCCUAUCCCUUCCUACCCAACUCUGAGAUUACUUUAUUUUUUUCUUUCUUCCCUCAUUGAGUCUACUCAAUGGAUGGUGUCUGGCUGUGCAUGCUGUUACAAUCACUGUGAGUUGAUAUGUGCGUUUGCCCUGUUUGUGUCUAGAAACAGUUUCCUUGAUGUUAUCCAUCAUCUCAGGUUCUCACAAACUUUCCAUUCCCUUUUUCACAGAGAUCCCUGAGCCUUGGGGGGAAGGGUAUAAUGUGAAUGUCCAAUUUAAGGCUGAGUACUCUGCACGUGACCAGUUGUUGGGGAGAGGGGCCAUCUGUGUUAAUUGGUAUCUACCGAAGGAGAAGCUUCUACGAUGAGGGUUGAAAGAUGCUCUGGUCUAUGGGUGUAACAAUAAGUCCUUUUAUUACUAAGUCAAUUUAGCAGAAUAAUAGCAUUUUUUCCUAGUAGACAUAGUUUCUUGGCCCCUUAAUAGUGUCAAGCACGUGUUCCAUCUCAUGGAGCAGGUCUUUAAUCCAAGGGCAAAGAGGUCGGUUACCCUUAUAAAACGCACGCCACAAUUCCAUGAAUAGGUAUAUCCUGUCAGACCAGUUAUUGUUGUAGCUCAUGAGGUUCACAGCCAGCAGAGCUCGAGGCCUACACUUCUUCUUGUCAGCGUGCACAGCAUCUUCCAGCACCAUAAAUGCCAGCCAGUAGUAAUGAGGCUCACAGAAGAGUACCAGCUUGAGGUCUCCAUGUUCGUGACUCAGACAUGCCAUGUCUUCAGCAGUAGGGUGCUAUCCCCAAGCUCUGCAGGGUCGCCAGGAAUACCGACGAUAACUGUCAUGCUUAGGGGAGUCUAUUGUGUCCCCGUUGGCCAACAACUAAAAAGGAGAUAACACAGUCCUGACAGAUGAGAAACUCUGUUCUCACGAGUUUUUAUUUAGUUUUUGAGGCAGGGUCUCACUAUGUGGUCCUAGAUGGCCUGAAACUCACAAAGCUCUUCUUUCCUGUUUCCCAACUACUGGGAUCACAGGUGUGCUUCAGUACACCCAGCCCUACUGUGGGAAAAUGUUAAGGACAUGAUUAAAGAUUCAUUUUGUUUAUUAUAACAUUGUAAUAGGGAAAAUUUGGCUGUUGCUCCACAGCGAGGGAAUUGAUUCAACUAUGACACAUCCACCUAAUGGAACAUUAUUUAGCUUUUAAAACUAUGCCAUGAUGAAUAUUCAUGGACAUGAAAAGAUGAUUAUAGUAAAUUGUUGAAAAAAUAGUUGCAUUACGAUGCCAUUUCUGUCAAUAUAGACUCAAAGAGUGUAUGUGUGUAUGUGUGUGGUGUGUUUGUGUGUGUGUGUGUAUGUGGUAUGUAUGUGUGGUAUGUGUGUGUGUGGUGUGUUGUGUGGUGUGUAUAUGUGGUGUGUGGUAUAUGUGUGUGUAUGUGGUGUGUAUGUGUGGUGUGUAUGUGUAUGGUAUGUAUGUGUGUUAUGUGUUGUGUGUUGUGUAUAGGUGGUGUGUGGUAUAUGUGUGUGUGUGGUGUGUGUGUGUGUGUGUGUGUGUGUGUGGUGUGUGUGUGUGUGUGUGUGUGUGUGGUGUUUGUGUAUGUGUUAUUAGUACCUGGUAAACCAUGAAAUCACUGGAACUUUAAUUUUUCCUUUUGACUAUAUUUCUGUUCUAGUUUCCUUUCUAUUGCUGUGAUAAAAUACUCUGACCAAAAGCAAUUUAGGGGAGGGGAGGACUUAUCUCAGUUUAUAGGUUAAAGUUGUAAAAAGACAGGAUAGAAACUCAGACGGAAACCAGAAGCAGGAAUCGAGAUGAACACUGCUGGCUGGCUCACUGCCAGGCUGGGGCUUCCAUGCCUUUCAUGUACACCCAAAGGGGCUACAUCAGUGGAUGUCGAGACACCUCCCACAGAUAUGCUAAAGGCUAAUCUGGGCACUCUCUCAGCCGGAGACUUCCUUCCUAGGUGACUCUAGGCUGUGUCAGGUUGAGAGUUAAAGCUAACUAGGACAGUGUUCCUUAUAGGUGAGUGCUUGUUUCUUUGUAAAGAGAAGAAAAUACUAAAUAUUAAUUUGGACUCAAAGCUAGACUAUGUGCUAACUGGACUGGAAAAAAAAAGUUGGCAAGAAUGUGAAAGACCUGGACUUGGGCUUACUGUUGUUGUUGUUACAGGGUUUCUCUCUACCUAGCCCUGGCUAUCCUGAAAUAGGUAGACCAAGGUGGCCUUGAACUCAGAGAUCCACCUGCCUCUGCCUCCCAAGUACUGGGAUUAAAGGUGUUCACUACCAAGUUCAGCUAGGACCUGGGAUUCUUCCCCCCAACCCCAGUACAUAAUGUUUUUAUUAAUUAUUUGGAAAUUUCAUAUAAUGCAUUUACACUCCUCAUUCUUCCCAGGGUUGCCUUACCCUCCCCCAACAAAAGAAGAAAAAAUACACCAAGUCCAAUUUGAAUUGCCGUACACUCAUUGCCCAUAUACUCAUUGGAGCAUGGUCAAACUCCCAGUGGUCAGCCCCUUAAAGAAAACUGAGCUCCCGAAGCCAUCAGUUGUGAAGUGUUAUACUCCAGCAUCUUUAUCACAAUUUUUAAGGUCUCUCUUCACUAUCUUCCUUCAGGCCUGUUUCCUUUUCUUUUUUUAGGAGGUAGGAAGAAAGGUUGUCACAAAAAGUCUUCAACGUCUCUCAUUCUCAGUUAUGAAUCUGUAGGCAUCGAAACCACCACAAAAGAAGCUCCCUGACCCAAUAGCAGCCAGGGGCAGCAUGGAUCAUGGACUUCCACACAGUUUCUGGUGGCAGUACAGACCAGGGACAUCAAUAUGGCCUCUGGCAAGACCAAGGCAGAGAAAAGUGUAUAUUGCAAGGGCAACUUUGGAAAACUGUCUGUAUUCCUAAAGCAAAAUAUCCAUUUGUUCUAUGACCCAAUAAUUUCCUUCCUAAAUUCCAAGAAGAUAAAUGUUUACAGAGAGAAGUUCCCUGUCUUGUAACAGAGUUACAUCCAUAAAAACCCAAUGUAAAAUAAAAAUGCUGUUCCGAAA
This is a non-coding RNA of Rattus norvegicus (Norway rat), 5195 nucleotides long. NCBI's taxonomy places the organism in Eukaryota, Metazoa, Chordata, Mammalia, Rodentia, Muridae. The record is from RefSeq and is a predicted model, not a curated record.